AUGACCCUCUGGACGCUGGAUGGCGCGGUGGAGGCCAUCGGGGACAAGGUGAUCGUGGAUCGCCUCGACAGCCGCACGCACGAGCGCGCCGACACCAAGCUCUUCGCCUGCUGGGUCUGGUGCUGGGACACUGCCCACAUCCCUACCAGGUGCACCAUCUGGCCCCAGGGGGCGGGCCGCGUCGACGAGAUGCUAGGCUACUCUCCCCCGAGCCGUGCGGUGGCGCCACCCCCCGAGCUGCUGCAGUACGAUCUCCUGCUCCACCUUGAUCGUGUUGAGGACUGG
This 285-nucleotide ribosomal RNA is filed under the name Triticum aestivum (bread wheat). RNAcentral describes it as "partial small subunit ribosomal RNA". Lineage: Eukaryota; Viridiplantae; Streptophyta; Magnoliopsida; Poales; Poaceae. The record is from RNAcentral.